GAUGAACGCUGGCGGCGUGCCUAAUACAUGCAAGUCGAGCGAACAGAUGAGGAGCUUGCUCCUCUGACGUUAGCGGCGGACGGGUGAGUAACACGUGGAUAACCUACCUAUAAGACUGGGAUAACUUCGGGAAACCGGAGCUAAUACCGGAUAAUAUAUUGAACCGCAUGGUUCAAUAGUGAAAGACGGUUUUGCUGUCACUUAUAGAUGGAUCCGCGCCGCAUUAGCUAGUUGGUAAGGUAACGGCUUACCAAGGCAACGAUGCGUAGCCGACCUGAGAGGGUGAUCGGCCACACUGGAACUGAGACACGGUCCAGACUCCUACGGGAGGCAGCAGUAGGGAAUCUUCCGCAAUGGGCGAAAGCCUGACGGAGCAACGCCGCGUGAGAGAUGAAGGUCUUCGGAUCGUAAAACUCUGUUAUUAGGGAAGAACAAAUGUGUAAGUAACUAUGCACGUCUUGACGGUACCUAAUCAGAAAGCCACGGCUAACUACGU
This 496-nucleotide ribosomal RNA is filed under the name uncultured bacterium. RNAcentral's name for it is "partial 16S ribosomal RNA". It matches the Rfam family "Bacterial small subunit ribosomal RNA", at positions 28 to 506 of the family's 1533-position model. The record is from RNAcentral.